GACGAGCGCUGGCGGCGUGCCUAAUACAUGCAAGUUGAGCGAUGAAGAUUGGUGCUUGCACCAAUUUGAAGAGCAGCGAACGGGUGAGUAACGCGUGGGGAAUCUGCCUUUGAGCGGGGGACAACAUUUGGAAACGAAUGCUAAUACCGCAUAACAACUUUAAACAUAAGUUUUAAGUUUGAAAGAUGCAAUUGCAUCACUCAAAGAUGAUCCCGCGUUGUAUUAGCUAGUUGGUGAGGUAAAGGCUCACCAAGGCGAUGAUACAUAGCCGACCUGAGAGGGUGAUCGGCCACAUUGGGACUGAGGCACGGCCCAAACUCCUACGGGAGGCAGCAGUAGGGAAUCUUCGGCAAUGGACGAAAGUCUGACCGAGCAACGCCGCGUGAGUGAAGACGGGUUUCGGAUCGUAAAACUCUGUUGGUAGAGAAGAACGUUGGUGAGAGUGGAAAGCUCAUCAAGUGACGGUAACUACCCAGAAAGGGACGGCUAACUACGUG
RNAcentral lists this ribosomal RNA (497 nucleotides) under uncultured bacterium. Its description in RNAcentral is "partial 16S ribosomal RNA". It matches the Rfam family "Bacterial small subunit ribosomal RNA", at positions 28 to 507 of the family's 1533-position model. The record is from RNAcentral.